AUCACUACGCUAGAUGCAUAUCAAUAAGCGGAGGAAAAGAAACUAACAAGGAUUCCCCUAGUAACGGCGAGUGAAGCGGGAAGAGCUCAAAUUUGAAAUCUUAAAGGGUUUCCCUUUACGUAUUGUAGUUUAAAGAAGUGUUUUCUGUUGGAGUUUCGGUAAAAGUUCUUUGGAAUAGGACAUCAUAGAGGGUGAGAAUCCCGUAUUUGACCGUUACUUUCCAGCUGUGUGAUACACUUUCAAAGAGUCGGAUUGUUUGGGAAUGCAGUCCAAAAUGGGUGGUAAAUUUCAUCUAAAGCUAAAUAUUGGCGAGAGACCGAUAGCGAACAAGUACCGUGAGGGAAAGAUGAAAAGAACUUUGAAAAGAGAGUUAAACAGUACGUGAAAUUGUCAAAAGGGAAGCGUUUGACACCAGUGUUGUUUAGUUGAAAAUCAAUUCAAUAAUUUUUGAUUUUAAGUAGUAUUGACUUCAUCAGCUUGCUGCUUUCUUUUCGAAAAUUAUUGAAUGCACUUUUCAGUUAACAAGUCAACAUCAAUUUCUUUUGUUGUAAAAGGGUAAGAGGAAGGUGGCUUACGCUUCGGCGUAAGUGUUUAUAGCCUUUUACCUCUGCAAUCGGAGAGAUUGAGGAUCAGCAGCGUAGACUCCUUCGGGGGUUAGAUACACUUGUGCUAAGCUAUAGCCUUGUAUAGACAACUUGUUGACUAUGCUCAGUCAUGUAGCUUACUCGCUUGUGCUAUUUUACCUACGCUUAGGAUGUUGACGAGACUGUCGAUCUC
RNAcentral lists this ribosomal RNA (777 nucleotides) under uncultured Neocallimastigales. Its description in RNAcentral is "partial large subunit ribosomal RNA". It matches the Rfam family "Eukaryotic large subunit ribosomal RNA", at positions 20 to 646 of the family's 3401-position model. Lineage: Eukaryota; Fungi; Neocallimastigomycota; Neocallimastigomycetes; Neocallimastigales. The record is from RNAcentral.